GCCGCCUUCGUCUAGUGGCCUAAGACACCUGGUUCUCAUCCAGGAGAUCAGGGGUUCGACUCCCCUAGGCGGUA
This 74-nucleotide transfer RNA is filed under the name bacterium. RNAcentral describes it as "tRNA-Glu". It matches the Rfam family "tRNA". Rfam says of the family: Transfer RNA (tRNA) molecules are approximately 80 nucleotides in length. The record is from RNAcentral.